AUGCUGGAGGUAUCAGAAGUGCGAAUGCUGACAUAAGUAACGAUAAAGCGGGUGAAAAGCCCGCUCGCCGGAAGACCAAGGGUUCCUGUCCAACGUUAAUCGGGGCAGGGUGAGUCGACCCCUAAGGCGAGGCCGAAAGGCGUAGUCGAUGGGAAACAGGUUAAUAUUCCUGUACUUGGUGUUACUGCGAAGGGGGGACGGAGAAGGCUAUGUUGGCCGGGCGACGGUUGUCCCGGUUUAAGCGUGUAGGCUGGUUUUCCAGGCAAAUCCGGAAAAUCAAGGCUGAGGCGUGAUGACGAGGCACUACGGUGCUGAAGCAACAAAUGCCCUGCUUCCAGGAAAAGCCUCUAAGCAUCAGGUAACAUCAAAUCGUACCCCAAACCGACACAGGUGGUCAGGUAGAGAAUACCAAGGCGCUUGAGAGAACUCGGGUGAAGGAACUAGGCAAAAUGGUGCCGUAACUUCGGGAGAAGGCACGCUGAUACGUAGGUGAAGUCCCUCGCGGAUGGAGCUGAAAUCAGUCGAAGAUACCAGCUGGCUGCAACUGUUUAUUAAAAACACAGCACUGUGCAAACACGAAAGUGGACGUAUACGGUGUGACGCCUGCCCGGUGCCGGAAGGUUAAUUGAUGGGGUCAGCGCAAGCGAAGCUCUUGAUCGAAGCCCCGGUAAACGGCGGCCGUAACUAUAACGGUCCUAAGGUAGCGAAAUUCCUUGUCGGGUAAGUUCCGACCUGCACGAAUGGCGUAAUGAUGGCCAGGCUGUCUCCACCCGAGACUCAGUGAAAUUGAACUCGCUGUGAAGAUGCAGUGUACCCGCGGCAAGACGGAAAGACCCCGUGAACCUUUACUAUAGCUUGACACUGAACAUUGAGCCUUGAUGUGUAGGAUAGGUGGGAGGCUUUGAAGUGUGGACGCCAGUCUGCAUGGAGCCGACCUUGAAAUACCACCCUUUAAUGUUUGAUGUUCUAACGUUGACCCGUAAUCCGGGUUGCGGACAGUGUCUGGUGGGUAGUUUGACUGGGGCGGUCUCCUCCUAAAGAGUAACGGAGGAGCACGAAGGUUGGCUAAUCCUGGUCGGACAUCAGGAGGUUAGUGCAAUGGCAUAAGCCAGCUUGACUGCGAGCGUGACGGCGCGAGCAGGUGCGAAAGCAGGUCAUAGUGAUCCGGUGGUUCUGAAUGGAAGGGCCAUCGCUCAACGGAUAAAAGGUACUCCGGGGAUAACAGGCUGAUACCGCCCAAGAGUUCAUAUCGACGGCGGUGUUUGGCACCUCGAUGUCGGCUCAUCACAUCCUGGGGCUGAAGUAGGUCCCAAGGGUAUGGCUGUUCGCCAUUUAAAGUGGUACGCGAGCUGGGUUUAGAACGUCGUGAGACAGUUCGGUCCCUAUCUGCCGUGGGCGCUGGAGAACUGAGGGGGGCUGCUCCUAGUACGAGAGGACCGGAGUGGACGCAUCACUGGUGUUCGGGUUGUCAUGCCAAUGGCACUGCCCGGUAGCUAAAUGCGGAAGAGAUAAGUGCUGAAAGCAUCUAAGCACGAAACUUGCCCCGAGAUGAGUUCU
This 1557-nucleotide ribosomal RNA is filed under the name Escherichia coli. RNAcentral's name for it is "bacterial LSU rRNA". It matches the Rfam family "Bacterial large subunit ribosomal RNA", at positions 1270 to 2812 of the family's 2925-position model. The record is from RNAcentral. Lineage: Bacteria; Pseudomonadati; Pseudomonadota; Gammaproteobacteria; Enterobacterales; Enterobacteriaceae.